Phascolarctos cinereus (koala) is the source of this 1388-nucleotide long non-coding RNA. The record is from Ensembl. NCBI's taxonomy places the organism in Eukaryota, Metazoa, Chordata, Mammalia, Diprotodontia, Phascolarctidae.
AGCUGGGCUUUUAAAGCCCGGAAUCCAGGAAGGUUUUGGGAGCGGGGCCCCGAGGUCCGGAGAUCCGACGGCUGCAGCCGAACCCGGAGUGUCUCUCGAGGUCUUCUGGCUUUCACCCCCCACGGGGGGCAAAGCUAGCCAGAACCGCUCUAGGGCGCCCACGUUGCAGCCGGGGCCGGGGCUGGCUGGGGAGCCACCGGGCGGCCCGGUGGCCAGCUCCGCCUUCUCCCGCACCCCGAGGGGGCGGCUCAGGACUGGGGUCUCCCGAGAGUCCUGGCUUGUGGUGGCCGCUGCUGGCUGGCUGGGAUGGAUUCCGCCGCCGCCGCCGCAGCUGCAGAAACAAUCCAGGCGGAGGAAGGUCUUCGCAGAGCGCGCCCUGCGCUCGGGGUCCGAGGAGUCGCUGGCCUGGGACUCGGAGCGAAGCUUCCGAAGCAGCAGUAGAUGCCAAUCGAGUAACCCAGAACUGCGAAGCCCAAGUCUCCGGCCAAAGGCACCUUGGCAACUUUUGGCGGCGCUUCUCCCCUAAGCGCUCUUCAGGCUCCGUGCUGGGUGAGGGAGAGUGACUGAGUGUGAGCGAGUGUGUGUGCGGUGCGCCGAUCUCAGGCUGUGCCCUCCUUCUUCUCUUCCUCCACCUCCUCCUCCUCCUCCUCCUCCAGCGGGUGACUCACGCUGUAUACACACAGUCCGAUUAUAUGUAAACAGUUGGGAAGCCGGGUUGUGCAAUGAGGUGCUACGAUUCCAGCUCCUCGGCCCACCACCCGGCUUGCUGGCGAGCAGAGCGGGGAGGGGAGGUGCAGCAGCAGCAGCAGCAGCAGCAGGACGGGGCGGGGGGAGAAGGAGGGGUCUGGAAGGGAAGGGACAGCUUCAAGACACCCAGGCGACGCGCGCACGGACGCAGGUGACGAGCCGGGCAAGGGAGCUCGCGCUCCCCGCACACACUCCUCCAACACGCCGAGGGAGGGAAGGAAGGACUGCGCGCUUGGAAAGAAAGAAAGUGGAAAAGAGAGAAGGAACGAGAAGAGGGAGCUCCCUCUCUCGGGCGCGCUCUCUCUGUCUCUCCCUCUCUCUCUCAGUCUCUUACAGCCAAACCCGCGGGCCGGGAAAGAGGAGAUUAAAAGUUGCCGUGACGUUAGAGGCCAGGAGAACCGGAGUUGGGCUAGGGUUGGGGGUGAGGGGGAGAGAAGGGGAAGGGGCGGGAUUUGUAGGGCGGAGCUUAGACGACGCCAGCGCUCAUUGGUUUGUGCUUCUUCCAUUCACUCCACAGCGAUUCACCGUCUCAGCUCGAGGAGUACAAUGGGCUGCGGAGGAGGAGAAAGAUGAGAAGACUGGCAGGCCAGGAUUCAAACUCGUGUCUUCUGAUCCCUGCAUCACACUGCCUUCCUUUUGAG